RNAcentral lists this ribosomal RNA (253 nucleotides) under uncultured bacterium. Its description in RNAcentral is "partial 16S ribosomal RNA". It matches the Rfam family "Bacterial small subunit ribosomal RNA", at positions 524 to 776 of the family's 1533-position model. The record is from RNAcentral.
UACAGAGGUUCCAAGCGUUGUUCGGAUUCACUGGGCGUAAAGGGUGCGCAGGCGGUCGGGUAAGUCUGAUGUGAAAUCUCCGGGCUCAACCCGGAAAGGGCAUUGGAUACUAUCCGGCUGGAGGGUUGCAGGGGGGACUGGAAUUCUCGGUGUAGCAGUGAAAUGCGUAGAUAUCGAGAGGAACACCCGUGGCGAAGGUAAGUCCCGGGACAACUCCUGACGAUCAUGCACGAAAGCUAGGGGAGCAAACAGG